AAUACGAAUAUGUGAGUCAAAAUCUGAAGCAAUAAAAUUAUUGUCAGAGAAUUAAAGGUGAAGUUAUGCAACAGCAUUGUUAUGGUGCUGGUAUUUAAUUGGCAGAAGUAUGGCCAGAGACAGCUGCCCCUGAAUAAAACAUCAGAGUUUUCAUGCAUGGUUACAUAAAUCUCCGGUUUGAAGCUGGAGGCAAGCAGAUCCCCAGAGAUGCAGGAGAUAAAUGGAGGCAGAGUACCUUGUGCCAGGAGGGGGUGACUGGCACCACUCGGAGCUGAGCUGCCUCGCACUGCUGCAAUUUCUCCUUGAGCUGG
Molecule: long non-coding RNA, 311 nt
Filed under: Zonotrichia albicollis (white-throated sparrow)
Lineage: Eukaryota; Metazoa; Chordata; Aves; Passeriformes; Passerellidae
Description: lncRNA (ENSZALG00000014764.1)
Source: RNAcentral